This 2173-nucleotide long non-coding RNA is filed under the name Olea europaea subsp. europaea. Lineage: Eukaryota; Viridiplantae; Streptophyta; Magnoliopsida; Lamiales; Oleaceae. The record is from RNAcentral.
AUUUUUCGUUCCUCCUUUCUUUGGCCCCACCGAAAUCUACUCAUCAUCGUUUCAAUUUCAUUGCAUAAUGUAGAGGGAAGUUUGAAGCAACUCAUAGCAUAGGAGGAGGUUGCUAAAGCCACUGAUUUGAGGAGGAUUUCUCUUCCCCCUUGGGAGAACAUACCACUCUUCCAACUUUGUAAUUUCAACCAAAUCUUAUGUUUUAUUUCAGAGAAAGCUCGGUUUUGGAUCUACCGAUCAUAGGUGGUAAUCCCAAAUACUUUUCAUAUUGCUGUAUUUCAGGAGCAUUCCAAAGAGCCAUAAUUUCUUGCUUCUUGUCUGGCUUUACAUUUGCACUAAAGACCAGAGAGGUUUUAUCUCUAUUCAACUGUUGACCCGAUGCAUCUUCAUAGCUACUAAAGAGAGCUUGCAGUCAAGUAGUGGUUUCCACAUUUGCUUCACAGAAAAUCAAGUUGUCGUCUGCAAAGAGAAGAUGAUUCAAGCUUAGAGCUCUUCUACACACUUGAAUACCAUUCACUAAUUUAUUUCUUUCCACUGUAUUCAGUAGAUUAAUCAAUCCUUCGGUACAUAAGAGGAAUAGAUAGGGCGAUAUUGGAUCCCCUUGUCUCAACCCCCUUGAGCGGAUAAUGCGACCCAUGGGAACACCGUUAAUGAGUAUCGAGAAAGGAGUAGUAACACGUCAUCACCAGUUUGAUAAUUUUUUCAUGGAAGCCCAACUUAUACAUAACCGCCCCAAGAAAAGACCAUUCAACUCUGUCAUAUGCUUUACUCAUGUCAAGCUUCAGAGACAUGUAACCUUUCUUGCCCUUCUUCUUUCUUCGUAGGAAAUGGAAUACUUCAUAGGCCACAAGCACAUUGUCUGUAAUGAGACACCCUUUAAUGAAGGCUGACUGUGUUUCUGAAAUCACCAUAGGUAGUACUUUUUUUAUCCUGUUAGCCACAACUUUUGAAACCAAUUUGUACAUGACAUUACAAAGACUAAUUAGUCUGAAAUCCUUUACUUUUUGAGGAUUUUUUUUUUAUCUUCGGGACAAGUGUAAUAAAAGUGUGGUUUACAUUUUGGGGAAACUCAUUGGUAUUUAAAGCAUGUAAUACAACAUUUGUAAUAGAGAAACCAAUAUGAGGCCAAAAUUUUUGAUAAAAAAUAGGAGGCAUACCAUCAAGACCUGGGGCUUUAGUAGGAUCCAUCUCCUUCAAGGCUUGGAAGACUUCGUUUGCUGUAAAAGGUUGAAUCAAUUCCUCGAUCAUUCCACGGGUUAAUUUGCAAUUUAUGUUCUCCAAAAUGGCUGCUUGAUUCCUCGAGCCUGUGGAGGUGAACAUAUUAGAAAAAUAGUUUAUUAUCAUGUGGUUGCACGCCUCUCCCUCUUGCCAAUUGCCCUGGUCAUCCAAGAGUUUAUUAAUUGUAUUUUUCCUUCUUCUUUGGGAAGCUUUUGCAUGGAAAAAUUGAGUGUUCUAGUCACCCUCUUCAAGCCAAGUAGCUCUAGAUCUUUGUUUCCACAUAAGUUCUUCUCUAUCCAUCCAAAUUUGUACUUCCUCAGUGGCCUGCCGAAGAUCAUUUGAGUUUAUAGUUGUAGGAUCCUGCUUUUGAAUAUGCUCAAGCUUUGUUUUGGCGUUGCUAAGUUUCACUUGCACUUUGCCGAAUUUAGAUAUAUUCCAAGACUGGAGCUGAUUGCUGCAAAGUCUAAUAUUUUGCAUAAUAUUAUUUAGGUCGUGAGGGCAAGAGUCGGACCAUUUAUUCAGUAUAAUAUUAGUGCAUGCCUUUUUGCUAAUCCACAUUGACUUAAAUCAAAAUGGUUUAAGUGUUUUGAGAGUUUGGUAAGUACCAUGAAAAUGGAUCUAGAGGGGCAGUGUCUGAAUAUAUAGUGGAGCCAUGGGUAAUCGUAGCUUCCGGGAACAAUUGACAUCAGGAGGCAUUGGCAGUAAAACGGUCGAGCCUCUCAAAAAUCUGUGUAGAGUUUUGUCUUCCAUUGUACCAAGUAUAACGAGGUCCUCUAAAGCCAAGAUCUUUUAGUUCAAAAUCAAAGAGCAUUUGCUCGAAACUUUCUAGUUGUUGUUGAGGUCUGUCCCGACCUCCCCAUUUUUCCUCAUUAGAUAAAAUUUCAUUGAAGUUGCCAAAGAGAAGCCAAGAUUUUAAAGGGUCUCUCUUCAUAUUCCACAAUAGAUUCCAGGUUUC